This 468-nucleotide ribosomal RNA is filed under the name uncultured bacterium. RNAcentral's name for it is "partial 16S ribosomal RNA". It matches the Rfam family "Bacterial small subunit ribosomal RNA", at positions 28 to 507 of the family's 1533-position model. The record is from RNAcentral.
GAUGAACGCUGGCGGCGUGCUUAACACAUGCAAGUCGAACGGAAAGGCCCUGCUUUUGUGGGGUGCUCGAGUGGCGAACGGGUGAGUAACACGUGAGUAACCUGCCCUUGACUUUGGGAUAACUUCAGGAAACUGGGGCUAAUACCGGAUAGGAGCUCCUGCUGCAUGGUGGGGGUUGGAACGUUUCGGCGGUUGGGGAUGGACUCGCGGCUUAUCAGCUUGUUGGUGGGGUAGUGGCUUACCAAGGCUUUGACGGGUAGCCGGCCUGAGGGGGUGACCGGCCACAUUGGGACUGAGAUACGGCCCAGACUCCUACGGGAGGCAGCAGUGGGGAAUAUUGCACAAUGGGCGGAAGCCUGAUGCAGCAACGCCGCGUGCGGGAUGACGGCCUUCGGGUUGUAAACCGCUUUCGCCUGUGACGAAGCGUGAGUGACGGUAAUGGGUAAAGAAGCACCGGCUAACUACGUG